RNAcentral lists this ribosomal RNA (814 nucleotides) under uncultured Gammaproteobacteria bacterium. Its description in RNAcentral is "bacterial SSU rRNA". It matches the Rfam family "Bacterial small subunit ribosomal RNA", at positions 72 to 883 of the family's 1533-position model. The record is from RNAcentral. Lineage: Bacteria; Pseudomonadati; Pseudomonadota; Gammaproteobacteria.
CGGGCCCGCAAGGGUGCCGGCGAGCGGCGGACGGGUGAGCAACACAUAGGAAUCUACCUUAGAGCGGGGGAUAGCCCGGGGAAACCCGGAUUAAUACCGCAUGAUGUCGAAAGACCAAAGUGGGGGACCGUAAGGCCUCACACUCUGAGAUGAGCCUAUGUCGGAUUAGCUAGUUGGCGGGGUAACGGCCCACCAAGGCGACGAUCCGUAGCUGGUCUGAGAGGACGAUCAGCCACACCGGAACUGAGACACGGUCCGGACUCCUACGGGAGGCAGCAGUGGGGAAUAUUGGACAAUGGGCGAAAGCCUGAUCCAGCGACGCCGCGUGGGUGAAGAAGGCCUUCGGGUUGUAAAGCCCUUUAAGCCGGGACGAAAAAGCUGAACCUAAUACGUUCGGCCUUGACGGUACCGGAAGAAUAAGCACCGGCUAACUCUGUGCCAGCAGCCGCGGUAAUACAGAGGGUGCAAGCGUUAAUCGGAUUUACUGGGCGUAAAGCGUGUGUAGGUGGCUCGCUAAGUCGGUUGUGAAAUCCCUGGGCUCAACCUGGGAAUUGCAGUCGAUACUGAUGAGCUCGAGUUCGGUAGAGGGUGACGGAAUUCCCGGUGUAGCGGUGAAAUGCGUAGAUAUCGGGAGGAACAUCGAUGGCGAAGGCAAUCACCUGGGCCUGAACUGACACUGUGACACGAAAGCGUGGGUAGCAAACAGGAUUAGAUACCCUGGUAGUCCACGCCGUAAACGAUGGGAACCUGACGUCGGUUUGCUCUGCGAAUCGGUGUCGUAGCUAACGCGCUAAGUUCCCCGCCUGGGGAGUAC